Molecule: non-coding RNA, 98 nt
Organism: Acanthosepion pharaonis
Lineage: Eukaryota; Metazoa; Mollusca; Cephalopoda; Sepiida; Sepiidae
Source: the annotation of a GenBank genome assembly
GUUGAAACACCGAUUCUCAUCCGAUCACCGAAUUUAAGCAACCUCGAGGCUGUUCAGUUCCUAGAUGGGUGACCGUUUGGGAAUAUCAAGUGCUGUAA